Peromyscus californicus insignis is the source of this 2919-nucleotide long non-coding RNA. RefSeq lists it as uncharacterized. The record is from RefSeq and is a predicted model, not a curated record. Lineage: Eukaryota; Metazoa; Chordata; Mammalia; Rodentia; Cricetidae. The transcript has 3 exons.
CGCGAGCUGGCCUUUGACAUCUGCCACCUGAGGCCCGGGGCUGCGGAAGGCGGCCCGAGUGUGCCCGGGAAUUCCACCCGGGAGCUGCCCGCCGAGCGUGCGGAGGGCGUGUCGCGCUCUUCGGGGGCGCCUGCCGCGUGUCCCCAGGAGGAUGCUCCAGGGCUACCUGUCUCACUCGGACAGGAAUUUAUUGGAAUGAUUUACAGGCUGCAGUCCAACAAUGGCUCGUUAUGAAUGGAAAGUCCAGAAUCUAGUAGCUGCUCAGUCCCACACGGCUGGGUGUCUCAGCUGGUCUGCUGGGAUCUCCAAGAAGGAAUGGAUGUGCUGACGGAGGUGGCAUUCCUGUCAUCUUGCUAUUUAGGAUCUACACUCCACUUGAUCUCUUUCUUCACUGUCGAGACAUUGAGUCUAGAGAAAGAACCACGGGCGAUCUAUAUCUGGAGAGCUGGGAGGUCAGCAAAGCAGCAGCGUGGCGACCGUGACACCUGAAUCUAUCCCCACGAAUCUGUGACCUCUCCAAAGUCUUCCAGUCACAGUGACAGUCAUCUGAUACUCGUACUAGUACAGAGAUGGCUGCUGUCAUCGGUUACUUUUCAUGCUGUGUGGACAUCCUGCUGGGAACGUAUCAAAGUGAUACAAAUUUUUCCUCAAAAUCAGAUUCAUAGUCUUAGACCUGAGAGCAUGAAUGCUCUCUAUGAGGAAAAGCCUUUCUUUUACUGAGAAGGAUCCUGGCCAUUUUCUUGAGCUCAGACAGCCAAUUCACACUUCCUCCUUCUCCCAGUGCAGCCACGUUCUGUCCUUCCCUAGGUGUCUUUGACUUUCUAAUGGUUAGCUGCUGCUACAGCUGUUGUGUGGGAGAUUUCCAUGGAUCUUAUGUAUGAGGAAUGUCUGCAUUGGGCCUUCAGGAGCUAGAAGGAAUUGUUAAAAGAGGGAAGGCGGUCUUUCUACACACAGUGAAAGGCUUGAGAGAAGACACAGCACCAAGUGUGGGGUGUUGAGGGAAGGUUAGGGACAGCCUGAUAGAACUGAAAGGUGUUUGUAGGGUGUCACUGGACAUAGAGAUGAGCUUCUGAUUGUCCUUUAGACUAUCUCAAAUGUGACCUUAUCAGUAAUGCCUUCCUGCUCACCCAAGAUGGAAUUCAGGAAGCCACCCUCUGUUACCCUCUUGUUCUUGGUUCGUGAAUGGAGGCUGACAUCAUAUUAUAUCAUAAGUGCUUACUUGUUCAGCCUUGGGGACUGGAUUAUGUAUUAGAUAUCUAUCUGCCCACAGAGCCUUAACACCACAUAAGGAAUAGUCUACACAAUUACAUUGUUUUAUUUAUACCUAGCCCUUUUUACACAUUCACAUUUUCACAAGAUCAUUUUAGACAUUUGUGCUUCCUAGUUAUAAUUUGCAAAACAAAAUUCACAUACUGUUGAGAGACCUAUGGAACUCUAUCAUGAAGUUUAUUUUACCCCUAGAACAGUCAGUCAGCUGAUCAAUUAAUCAGCUACUUACUGGAAACCUGUCAUAGGAAAUGAACCUCAAAGGCCAGCUGGACCAAUUAUUGGACACUCUGAGUGCUCAGGUUUUCUCUUAUAUGAUUUGCUGAUGCUCUUGCCUCUGAUUUUCCUGUGUCCUGCAUCCCAGUUAAGGGGCUGAGUCAAACUCUUUACAACAGCGCACACAUUCCCUUUGACAACCCCUGUGUGGCUUUACACCCAUCUCCAUCAGAUGAGGUUAUCUCUGUGUCAGCCUCUUGGACCAGAAUGUAAACACCUCAAGGGCAAGAAAGGUGGGUUUUCUUCUCCACUGGUUGACAGAACCUCCGGCUAAGUUCUGUAGGGCUAAGUUGAACAAAUGAAUGAAUGUAAAUAAGUGAUGACAUUUUCAUUUUCUAUUCUUCUGGUUAGUGAUUCUAACAGCCACACCUUCUCAGUGGAAUUUUGUUUUGAAGAAACACCUGGAAGCUAUAAGAACAAAAUCAGAACAACUGUGGUUGAGGAGAAUGAACACUGUUAACUACUGAGGGUAGUUAGUUGUAAGCCAGUGGACUGGCCAGGGGACUGGCAAGGUCUACUUCAGACUCACACUUCCAGUGUAUGUUGCUUGGAGUCAGAACUGGAUGGCAGAACAAGCACCAUAGUCCAGUUAGCAGCGCUGAGGUCCAUAUAAAGCCUUAGGAAAGCAAAAAUACAUUGAAAACCAGGAAGCCAAACUUCUGAACUUAACCAGACCAGGGAAUCAGACUGUAUUGCAUUUUGACAGUCUCAAGCUGGUUUGAGAAAUGCUCCUGGCAUAUGACUAAAUAAUGAAAUCUCUAAGUUCCUCACAGUGUCAGCAUUUUCAGCAUCUCAGUUUGUAAAACAUUCUUCCAAAAAGGGGAUUAAAAAUCCUGUAGGGUAAGAAGCUAAGACUUGGAAGGACCGGCUGCUGUCGGUCAACACUGUGAUGGUUGCUUGUUUCCUAGAGGAGCUGGACAUCGUCCAGGGAGUCUCGUCAGGGACUUCUUCACUAUUGCACGUAUACUGUGGUGCAGUACUAGUCCUCCACUCGGUUAAUGUGAGAGUUGAAAUGAUUAUGCCUUCGAAGGGCUUAAUACUGACAAAAGGAACAGUAGCUCCCACUGCUGUUUCCGGAGCAUCAAGGCAGUGACUUUUCAAAUGUGUGAACAGCAGCAGUAAUAAUGUACUUGGACAUAUGUUGAAUGAAUGGAUAUUGGGAACCUCUACAGAGAACUGCUGUAUUGGCUUCAUGUUUCAUGUAUGUUAAUUGUGUUUUCUCUGUCUUUUUUCUCUAGUGACGUCUAGUUAUAGUGCUCUCUCUCUCUCUCUCUCUCUCUCUCUCUCUCUCUCUCUGUCUUUUUGCUUUAUUAAAUAAGGCUGACAAACUGUAUAAAUUUAAAGUAUACUAUGUGGUGAUUUGUAUGUAUUAGGAAA